GUUUAGUGUAGUAAGCGACGUACACUCAAGCUGAGACAACACUAUUUGAUAUGUCAGUAGGUGAAGCUACAAUGCUACGCGAUAUAACCUCAGUGCUACUUGGUGGUUCAAAAGGCCUGCCUCCGACACUCGCGUUCCUCUUCAAGCUGGCAUGGGCCUCGCGAGUACGUCUACCCUUACUCAUCGCAAUCGGAUUCAUGGUAACCAACAUUCACCUGCGGCUGGAAAUCAACGUAAAUAUAGAGGUUGGCGAAGACGACCCUCCCCCUCCACUCGACCAGCAGCAGCAGUUGCAGUUGGCUCAUGAUUAGGAUCGGUGGCCUCGGCGUUCGGUGUGUGUAUGUGUGUGUACCUGUCUGGCUUCCUGUAUUUUAAUUGCGUUUCAUGAUGAUGAUGAUGAUGACGAUGAGUGUCUUUGUCUUUGUGCGGUAUUUGGCAUUUUUAUAUUUUUUUCUUUUAGGAAAAGGAUUCAAAUUUAAUAUUUAUAAUGAUCUUGAUUAGAUGAUUUAGGUUAUUGACAUGCUAGUUUCAUAAAGUGCAAGUGUGUAUAUAUGAAAAUACUAAUUGGAUAUGUAGUUUUUUAAGUUGAAGGAUUUUUUUCUUUUUUUAUUGAAACCAGGGAAUACAUUGAUAUAUAUUUUUUCUUUUUUUUAAUGCAUGUGUGUUUAUGUGUGAAAGUGUGAGUGUAUACAGAAGCCACAUUUGAAUUUUCUUUCUAUUCUGAUCUUUAAGUACUUAUGUUACACUUCGUAUUUUGUGGAUUUAUUAAGUCAAGAUCUCAUAAGAUUUAUAAACUUUAUUUCUCUAGCCAUUUUUACAAAACGAAAUGGUUAUGAAUUCAUUAACUGUAUUUUAAGUAAGGGUGCUUGCCAUUCUGUAGUAUUGUCCUGUUCCCAUUGUAUUGGAAUGUGUGAAUAUUGAUUAUCAUGGAAAUAAUUUCGUAGAAUACAUUUUUUUCUAUAUCUACUUAGUGGACUUCAUGCUUAUUUCAAAUCUAAUUAAAAUUUACAUGAAGUAUUGAGUAUCUCUUGUGUAGAGAGAGAGAGAAAAAAAAAAUUACGAGAUGGUUUCCGUAAAAAUUUUUAUAAUUGAUGUUAUGAGUAUCCCAGUUGUAUGCUUAAUACAAAUGGGUUAUAUAUAUCAAAUGUAUGGCUGUGACCUAUCCCAGUUGCUUUAGAACACCUGUCUCGAAAAGGUAUGAAGUCUGGACGACAGAUAUGCAAAAUUGAGCUCAGUAAAGUAUGUGCUGUCUUUAGUUACUCUGUUACUUUGUGUAUCAAUAUAUUCAGUUCCUUUUAUUUGAUAAGAAAGUCGUGUGAAUUGUAGACAGCUGUGCAUAUCCUUUACAGUUAAUAAGUGUGGGUACUAUUCUGAACAUUAUAUAAAUCACUUUGUAAACAUGUAUUUAUAUAUACACAUGCAUGUACAUCAAUAUAUUAGCUAAUCUAUAUCUUAAUACAUAUAUAAAGUUUUAUCAAUUUUAUGUAUUUGGUUUUAGUAUUUUUCAUUACUUAUUAUGACAAUGAUUAAUGAAGUUAUUUUUUAAAUUUGGUUAUGUCAGUUUAUUUUAUUUUUGUUUUCCUUAUUUCAGAUAUAGUUAUUACUAAUGCUAUCAUGGUUAUAGCCAUAAAUAUGCACCAUCAUUCAUUUUAGUAGGAUAGCUUGUAUCAGGCCAACCACAUGUGUAAUUAAGUUGAUUACACAUGUAAAUUAAUCCACUUUUAAUUUUAUUUUCACAUUUUCAUGAUUUUUAUGUGUAGUAACAUAGAUUUUGAGUCUAGUUUCUUAUUAUUAUAAACACUACAUGACUAUUUAUUUAUUUACAUAAUAAUGAUAAACAUGAAAUAGAUAAUUAAUUAGAUAAUUGCAACCUCUCAUUGCAUAUUAUCCAUUUACUGUGACCAAAUCAAAGGCAUAUUUUCACUAUAAUGAGUUUUUGAAGUCUAGAUCCUCAUACAGAAUGCUCUAUAGGAAGAGUCCUUAUCAUGUACUGUCUCUUUGAACAUAAUAAUCUUUAGCUUACGAUACUGUACUACCAAAGUUACAUUAUUCCUCUUUUUCACGUGCUGCCUUAAAUGAACAGCUGACUGACUGUUCAUAUACUUACUCUUAGACUUUCUUCUCGAGCUGUAAAGACCUCUGAAUAUUGAUAUGUUUUUUUGUGAGAUUUCAUGCCUUGAUUUUAAAUAUAUUUUGUGGAAAUUGA
RNAcentral lists this long non-coding RNA (2206 nucleotides) under Penaeus japonicus. RNAcentral's name for it is "uncharacterized LOC122258541". Lineage: Eukaryota; Metazoa; Arthropoda; Malacostraca; Decapoda; Penaeidae. The record is from RNAcentral.